AUUGAACGCUGGCGGCAUGCCUUACACAUGCAAGUCGAACGGUAACAGGUUAAGCUGACGAGUUGCGAACGGGUGAGUAAUGUAUCGGAACGUGCCCCGUCGUGGGGGAUAACUGCUCGAAAGAGCAGCUAAUACCGCAUACGACCUGAGGGUGAAAGCGGGGGAUCGCAAGACCUCGCGCGAUUGGAGCGGCCGAUAUCAGAUUAGGUAGUUGGUGAGGUAAAGGCUCACCAAGCCGACGAUCUGUAGCUGGUCUGAGAGGACGACCAGCCACACUGGGACUGAGACACGGCCCAGACUCCUACGGGAGGCAGCAGUGGGGAAUUUUGGACAAUGGGCGCAAGCCUGAUCCAGCCAUGCCGCGUGCGGGAAGAAGGCCUUCGGGUUGUAAACCGCUUUUGUCAGGGAAGAAAAGGUUCUGGCUAAUACCUGGGACUCAUGACGGUACCUGAAGAAUAAGCACCGGCUAACUACGUG
RNAcentral lists this ribosomal RNA (477 nucleotides) under uncultured bacterium. Its description in RNAcentral is "partial 16S ribosomal RNA". It matches the Rfam family "Bacterial small subunit ribosomal RNA", at positions 30 to 507 of the family's 1533-position model. The record is from RNAcentral.